GAUGAAGAACGCAGCGAAAUGCGAUAAGUAAUGUGAAUUGCAGAAUUCAGUGAAUCAUCGAAUCUUUGAACGCACCUUGCGCCCUUUGGCUAUUCCGAAGGGCAUGCCUGUUUGAGUAUCAUGAACACCUCAACCCUCAUGGCUUGCCAUGAUGGGCUUGGACUUUGGGGGUCUUGCUGGAUUGUAGUCAGCUCCCCUUAAAUGAAUCAGCUUGCCAGUGUUUGGUGGCAUCACAGGUGUGAUAAAUAUCUACGCUUGUGGUUUUACAUCAGAUAACCUUCAGUGAUGGAGGUUCACUGGAGCUCAUAAAGGUGUCUCCUCAGCGAAGACAGCUCUUGAACGUUUGAUCUCAAAUCAGGUAGGACUACCCGCUGAACUUAAGCAUAUCAAUAAGCGGAGGA
This 401-nucleotide unclassified non-coding RNA is filed under the name soil metagenome. Its description in RNAcentral is "partial contains 5.8S ribosomal RNA, internal transcribed spacer 2, and large subunit ribosomal RNA". The stretch from base 1 to 121 matches the Rfam family "5.8S ribosomal RNA", at positions 35 to 154 of the family's 154-position model. The record is from RNAcentral.